AUGGCAUUGGAGAGCGGAAGAGACCAUGAAGCUGAACAUCGAUGGAUUGCUGGUUUAUUUCCCCUACGAUUACAUCUACCCCGAACAGUAUUCGUACAUGCUGGAGCUCAAGAGGACGUUAGAUGCCAAGGGCCAUGGGGUGCUGGAGAUGCCUUCGGGUACCGGGAAGACCAUCUCCCUCUUGUCGCUCAUCGUGGCCUACCAGCGAGCUCACCCUCUGGAGGUUUCCAAGCUUAUCUACUGCUCCAGAACGGUGCCGGAGAUUGAAAAGGUAAGAG
RNAcentral lists this long non-coding RNA (278 nucleotides) under Pogona vitticeps (central bearded dragon). RNAcentral's name for it is "lncRNA (ENSPVIG00000020538.1)". Lineage: Eukaryota; Metazoa; Chordata; Lepidosauria; Squamata; Agamidae. The record is from RNAcentral.